Long non-coding RNA from Etheostoma cragini (Arkansas darter), 87 nucleotides. RefSeq lists it as uncharacterized. NCBI's taxonomy places the organism in Eukaryota, Metazoa, Chordata, Actinopteri, Perciformes, Percidae. The transcript is spliced from 3 exons. The record is from RefSeq and is a predicted model, not a curated record.
GCUGAUUUACCAGCCACUUGCAUAUUUGACAAGCAUUUGGCUGGUAAAUGGUGCUAAUUUUGGACCCUGCACACGUACAUAAAAAUA